CGAAGCGGUGGUCAACGGUGCCGUCGACGUCGUCCUUGGCAGAAGGAUUUUGCAAGUUAAAUACUCAUGUGUGCUGAACUGAAAAGUUCUCUAUGCAACAUCUAUUGCAGCCUUGGACAGAAGAGGGCCAGCAACAAACAGAAGCAACCACUGUCCUGUCCA
This is a long non-coding RNA of Triticum aestivum (bread wheat), 162 nucleotides long. RefSeq lists it as uncharacterized. NCBI's taxonomy places the organism in Eukaryota, Viridiplantae, Streptophyta, Magnoliopsida, Poales, Poaceae. The transcript has 3 exons. The record is from RefSeq and is a predicted model, not a curated record.